RNAcentral lists this ribosomal RNA (188 nucleotides) under Salmonella enterica. RNAcentral's name for it is "partial 23S ribosomal RNA". It matches the Rfam family "Bacterial large subunit ribosomal RNA", at positions 1 to 180 of the family's 2925-position model. The record is from RNAcentral. Lineage: Bacteria; Pseudomonadati; Pseudomonadota; Gammaproteobacteria; Enterobacterales; Enterobacteriaceae. RNAcentral also lists the same sequence under 1 other name.
GGGUUGUGAGGUUAAGCGACUAAGCGUACACGGUGGAUGCCCUGGCAGUCAGAGGCGAUGAAGGACGUGCUAAUCUGCGAUAAGCGCCGGUAAGGUGAUAUGAACCGUUAUAACCGGCGAUUUCCGAAUGGGGAAACCCAGUGUGAUUCGUCACACUAUCAUUAACUGAAUCCAUAGGUUAAUGAGGC